This 113-nucleotide small nuclear RNA is filed under the name Suricata suricatta (meerkat). RNAcentral's name for it is "U2 spliceosomal RNA (ENSSSUG00005020560.1)". It matches the Rfam family "U2 spliceosomal RNA". Rfam says of the family: U2 is a small nuclear RNA (snRNA) component of the spliceosome (involved in pre-mRNA splicing). Complementary binding between U2 snRNA (in an area lying towards the 5' end but 3' to hairpin I) and the branchpoint sequence (BPS) of the intron results the bulging out of an unpaired adenosine, on the BPS, which initiates a nucleophilic attack at the intronic 5' splice site, thus starting the first of two transesterification reactions that mediate splicing. Lineage: Eukaryota; Metazoa; Chordata; Mammalia; Carnivora; Herpestidae. The record is from RNAcentral.
AUCACUUCUCAGCCUUUUGGCUAAGAUCAAGUGUAGUUUCAGGCAUGUUCUUGUGAGCUGGAUAGCAUAUGGACUUUAUAUCUGUUACUUUCUUACAAAUUUUCUGAUUUUAU